GUUUUCAAUAGUACGAGUCUCGACAGCAAUCACACCAGUAGGAAUUCCGCCCAUUCUAGCACGACCAACAACAACAGUCUUGGCCCAGCCAUUCAAAGUUUCCUGGAAAGAUCCUUUGUCAAAUAAACCAUACAAGAAAGAAUCUUCAUCUUCCUUUCCGGCAAUUAACCAACGAGGAUCGUAACCAUUUUGAGAAGGAUAGAACUCCACAUCACGAUCCCAUGUAUCUGAUGAUGGUGA
Schizosaccharomyces pombe (fission yeast) is the source of this 240-nucleotide non-coding RNA. Lineage: Eukaryota; Fungi; Ascomycota; Schizosaccharomycetes; Schizosaccharomycetales; Schizosaccharomycetaceae. The record is from the annotation of a GenBank genome assembly.